This 107-nucleotide small nucleolar RNA is filed under the name Gossypium arboreum. RNAcentral's name for it is "Plant small nucleolar RNA R71". It matches the Rfam family "Plant small nucleolar RNA R71". Rfam says of the family: R71 is a member of the C/D box family of snoRNAs containing the C (UGAUGA) and D (CUGA) box motifs. Multiple nearly identical copies of this snoRNA have been identified in Arabidopsis, and it is thought to function as a 2'-O-ribose methylation guide for 18S ribosomal RNA. Lineage: Eukaryota; Viridiplantae; Streptophyta; Magnoliopsida; Malvales; Malvaceae. The record is from Rfam by way of RNAcentral.
AACCCAUGGUGAGGACACCUUCUUAAUGAGUCCUUAUACCUCUCCCAUGCAUCAUAUAGAGUCUCUAAGUCCAUUUGCACAAAGGAAGAGAUAUCAUUUUUCAACUU